RNAcentral lists this transfer RNA (69 nucleotides) under Rattus norvegicus (Norway rat). It matches the Rfam family "tRNA". Rfam says of the family: Transfer RNA (tRNA) molecules are approximately 80 nucleotides in length. Their secondary structure includes four short double-helical elements and three loops (D, anti-codon, and T loops). Lineage: Eukaryota; Metazoa; Chordata; Mammalia; Rodentia; Muridae. The record is from Rfam by way of RNAcentral.
GGGGAUUUAGCUCAGUGAUAGAGCGCUUGCCUAGCAAGCACAAGGCCCUGGGUUCGGUCCCCAGCUCCU